CCUACGGGAGGCAGCAGUGGGGAAUAUUGGACAAUGGGCGCAAGCCUGAUCCAGCAAUGCCGCGUGGGUGAAGAAGGUCUUCGGAUUGUAAAGCCCUUUCGGCGGGGACGAUGAUGACGGUACCCGCAGAAGAAGCCCCGGCUAACUUCGUGCCAGCAGCCGCGGUAAUACGAAGGGGGCUAGCGUUGCUCGGAAUGACUGGGUGUAAAGGGUUCGUAGGCGGUGUGGCAAGUCGGGAGUGAAAUCUCUGGGCUUAACUCAGAGGCUGCUUCCGAAACUGCUGUGCUAGAGUGCGGGAGAGGCGCGUGGAAUUGCAGGUGUAGCGGUGAAAUGCGUAGAUAUCUGCAGGAACACCCGUGGCGAAAGCGGCGCGCUGGACCGUUACUGACGCUGAGGAACGAAAGCUAGGGGAGCAAACAGGAUUAGAUACCCUGGUAGUCCACGCUGUAAACGAUGUGUGCUAGACGUUGGGGAGCGCAGCUCUUCGGUGUCGCCGCAAACGCUUUAAGCACACCGCCUGGGGAGUACGGCCGCAAGAUUAAAACUCAAAGGAAUUGACGG
This 561-nucleotide ribosomal RNA is filed under the name uncultured bacterium. Its description in RNAcentral is "bacterial SSU rRNA". It matches the Rfam family "Bacterial small subunit ribosomal RNA", at positions 338 to 916 of the family's 1533-position model. The record is from RNAcentral.